Molecule: ribosomal RNA, 253 nt
Filed under: uncultured Dehalogenimonas sp.
Lineage: Bacteria; Bacillati; Chloroflexota; Dehalococcoidia; Dehalococcoidales; Dehalococcoidaceae
Description: partial 16S ribosomal RNA
Rfam family: Bacterial small subunit ribosomal RNA
Source: RNAcentral
UACGUAGGGGGCGAGCGUUGUCCCGAUUUAUUGGGCGUAAAGGCUUGUAGGUGGCCACGGAAAGUCGGAUGUGAAAUCUCCCGGCUCAACUGGGAGGGGUCAUUCGAUACUGCCGGGCUCGAGGCCGGUAGGGGGAAGCGGAAUUCCCGGUGUAGUGGUGGAAUGCGUAGAUAUCGGGAGGAACACCAGAGGCGAAGGCGGCUUCCUGGACCGGUCCUGACACUGAGGAGCGAAAGCGUGGGGAGCGAUCCGG